CAAAAUUUUAUAUAUCUAGGUUGUUUCCUAAGGAAAAACUAAAUAGAGAACAAAGAUAAGAAAACACUGAGGUUGGUAUGAACUGCGACUUGUUCUUCUUGGGACCUAUUCUGAUAAGAGCAAAUAUAGAGUUUGGUUUGAUAGAGGAAACCAGGACCUCAAAAGAUAAUAAGCUUUAUUAAAUAAUAAAACUUUAUUAUUGGGAAAAACAAUCUGUUCUUGUGUGCCUUUAUCACUAGGCUUUAUUGACUUAAAUAGAGAUAAUAGAAACAACUUCCUAAAAAGUCUAGACAAACUCUAACACGCAAACAACUUAAAUAACCAACAGAUAAUUCAAAUAAAAAAUAUAUUUAUCUUUUAAGAAAGUAACAUUCCCUUCCCCUUGAAGACACUCUUGUCCUCAAGGGUUUAAUUCAACUAAGGUGGCCAUAGUAUUUCAGGACUUCCACCAGUAAUUUCCAUCUAUUCAUCUGCAUCACUGUCAUUGAGACAUGAACAACUUUUUGCAACGAUGUUCGGGACCAAAUUUAUCAUUACAUUUGAAGCAUAAUCCCUUUUUCCUUCUUUCAUCUAUUUCUUCCAUUGUUAGUCUCCUAAUUGGCAUUGUUACUGGACUACUUUGAGCUUCAUAAUUUGCGGACGAAACUUUGGAUGAGACGAGAUCACGGGCUUUGUUCCUAGCUUCGUAAAGCUUGGCUAACUCAAUGGUUGAGGAUAAAGUUGAAGGCCUUCCCGCUUGAACUUCAGUUCUGAUAUUGUCCUUUAAUCCACUAAUAAAACAACUGACCUGCCUUUCCUGUGCCAAAUGUCCAGUUUUGGAAAGCAAUUUUUUGAACUUAGUCUGAUAUUCCUCAACAGAUCAUUGCUGCUGCAAUUUGGUGAGUUCGCCAAAGAAAUCAAAAUAUUGGUUUGGACCGUAAUGAGAGUGAAGCCCAAAUUUGAAUUCUUCCCAAGUAAUAACCGGUGCUUUCUGCUUCAAGAGUUGAUACCAUAAUUGGGCGUCUCCUUCUAAAUGAAAGGAUGCAAGCGACACUUUAUCAGUUGAUGGAGUGUCAAGAAACUGAAAAAAUUGCUCAACUCGACAUAUCCAGCUAGUAGGGUCUUCGUGGCCAUUAAAACGAGGAAAAGUCAAUUUGACUAGCUUUGGUGUGUACGUGGAAUGAGAGCCAUCCCCACUGCUACUACCAUGAGCCCCACUGAGGCGGUCUUUGCUCUAGAACUCUCUCUUUCUUGCCUUGAAAUGUGAUCAAUUCGGGUAUUGAGUUGGGAGAAUAAUUCCUUUAGUUGAUUGAUGAUGGUUUGCUGUCCCCCUGACAGAGACUGCACUUCCUUCUCUGAUCCAUGCCUGAGCUUUGAUACCACUUUGGUAUGAACUGCGACUUGUUCUUCUUGGGACCUAUUAUGAUAAGAGCAAAUAUAGAGUUUGGUUUGAUAGAGGAAACCAGGACCUCAAAAGAUAAUAAGCUUUAUUCAAUAAUAAAACUUUAUUAUUAGGAAAAGCAAUCUGUUCUUGUGAGCCUUUAUCACCAGACUUUAUUGACUUAAAUAGAGAUAAUAGAAACAACUUCCUAAAAAGUCUAAACAAACUCUAACACGUAAACUUAAAUAACCAACAGAUAAUUCAAAUAACUAACAGAUAAUUCAAAUAAAAAAUAUAUUUAUCUUUUAAGAACUUAACAGAGGUGCAGGAUAACAAAGUUAUGUGAUUAACAUUUAGCAUAUGACUAUCCAUGGGCGUAGUUGAGCAAGGAGUGUAACCUGAUUGAUUUUCACAAUUGUGGUUUUCAAAGAAAUAAAGCCCCAAACGUUGGAGCCUGGUCCACGUUUCAGAUAUGUCCUAUGGUACUUGGAAGAGUCCUUGUCUGGUGGGGUUGCCUCAGCACAUCUGAAUAGCCAAUUACUGAUAUUUUUAUUGAACAUCAUAAACCUUUUAAUUCCCAGACCCAGUAUAUUUACAAUCAUUAUUGGUUGUUUAAAUUAUCCAUAUGAUGCUAUUAUCUGCUUGUGCUACAACUGGAGUUAGCAAAUGCACACUUUGCCUGAGUAAUCGCCAACAUCCAACAGCUACUCCUUGUGGUCAUGUAUUCUGCUGGAACUGCAUCAUGGAAUGGUGCAAUGAAAAGCCAGAAUGCCCUCUCUGCCGUACUCCCAUAACUCAUUCAAGCCUAGUUUGUCUGUAUCAUUCAGAUUUCUAGGAUGGGCAUAGAAUUACUUGCGGUUAGGAAGAACACUAAUAAAAAGCCACCAACUUGUUUGCUUCUUUGAAGAUGUAAAGUAUCAAUCUGGGGAAUGAGUUAGAAAUUUAGAAAACAAUUCCCUAUGGUGGUCACAUAGUUGUAAUUGCAUCAGAUUUUUUUCAAUGGCCAAUGAGCGUUCACAUAAUUUGGAAAUUGGGAUUCUUUUUUCCUCUUUCUGGUGUAGAAUGUAAAUUAUCAGAAGGGAAUAGUUGCAUAAUGAGUUUGCUUCUGG
Long non-coding RNA from Pistacia vera, 2469 nucleotides. RefSeq lists it as uncharacterized. The record is from RefSeq and is a predicted model, not a curated record. The transcript is spliced from 3 exons. NCBI's taxonomy places the organism in Eukaryota, Viridiplantae, Streptophyta, Magnoliopsida, Sapindales, Anacardiaceae.